RNAcentral lists this ribosomal RNA (439 nucleotides) under uncultured bacterium. Its description in RNAcentral is "partial 16S ribosomal RNA". It matches the Rfam family "Bacterial small subunit ribosomal RNA", at positions 338 to 795 of the family's 1533-position model. The record is from RNAcentral.
CCUACGGGUGGCAGCAGUGGGGAAUAUUGCACAAUGGGGGAAACCCUGAUGCAGCGACGCCGCGUGAGUGAAGAAGUAUUUCGGUACGUAAAGCUCUAUCAGCAGGGAAGAAAAUGACGGUACCUGACUAAGAAGCCCCGGCUAACUACGUGCCAGCAGCCGCGGUAAUACGUAGGGGGCAAGCGUUUCCGGAUUUACUGGGUGUAAAGGGAGCGUAGACGGCAGCGCAAGUCUGGAGUGAAAUCCCAUGGCUUAACCAUGGAACUGCUUUGGAAACUGUGCAGCUAGAGUGCAGGAGAGGUAAGCGGAAUUCCUAGUGUAGCGGUGAAAUGCGUAGAUAUAUGGAAGAACACCAGUGGCGAGGGCGGCUCUCUGGUCUGCAACUGACGCUGAGGCUCGAAAGCAUGGGUAGCGAACAGGAUUAGAUACCCUUGUAGUC